This 602-nucleotide long non-coding RNA is filed under the name Hordeum vulgare. RNAcentral's name for it is "long non-coding RNA (HVUL_LNC006247)". Lineage: Eukaryota; Viridiplantae; Streptophyta; Magnoliopsida; Poales; Poaceae. The record is from RNAcentral.
GUGCUACCUAAAAAUACACAACACCAAUUGAAGCUCUACCCUCUUAUAGAUAGCAGAGACCAAUGCCUGAAGAUGUGCCAUCUCAGAGCAGCAGAUGCUGAUCAUCUGACCAUUUUGUUAGCUUGACCUUUGUAAUAAGCUACAGACUCUACAUGAACUGACAAACAGCUGGUCGAAAACAAUGUCGUGCUUAACUUGGUAUUUUCUUAAUUAAAUAUAAGUAAAACAGAUAAAUUAGGAAGUUUGACAUGAAGAUUUCAUGAUCCAUUCCAAUUGUUAUCUUCGUGUAAAAAAUAUAGGUUGUGCCUAAGGACCAAAGGCCUCUUUAGAGAAGUUUGUCUUUCCUUUUAAAGUAGUUAGCUAGUACCCCCCCUUCUCUUCUCUGCUUUGCUCUGUUACUCUUUUUGCAGAUGGUUGGUUCCAGUCUAAGUCUCUGUUCUCUGGCGGCGGUGGGUCGCCUAAUAACCAAAAAACUGCAAUGUUUCGAGCAUCUUUUCUUUGCUGGAAACAUAAGGAGGGGACUGCAUGGACACUCCAAACAAUCAGCAUAUACAUUUGUUGAACGGGAAGUAAGGAAACAAUCAUAUACUAAUAAUGUGUAG